Xiphophorus couchianus (Monterrey platyfish) is the source of this 1120-nucleotide long non-coding RNA. RefSeq lists it as uncharacterized. The record is from RefSeq and is a predicted model, not a curated record. The transcript is spliced from 7 exons. NCBI's taxonomy places the organism in Eukaryota, Metazoa, Chordata, Actinopteri, Cyprinodontiformes, Poeciliidae.
AGACUCAAAUUAUAUUUUCGUCUUUUUCUGCUGUAGCUUCAUUUAGCCCCCGUUACACUCAACCGGAAGUCACUUGUUACCUUCCGGUUCAAUUAAUCCAAACGUAUUUAUCGAUAUAUUUGAGCAUAGCACCUUAAAUGUUGGGAGUUUAAGCACGUCAGACAUUAUCAGACUCCCACAGCGUUAGGAACCAGAACCAGAACCGGGCCAACUCUUUGCUGAUUGUUUUGGUGUCAUUCUAAACAUUCACAUUGAAAAGGAGUUCGAGGACGUUCACACCAGAUGAACCAGCGUUUCCCUCGACCUUCCUGUAUUUCUGCUGGAGGAGGUUUCAGAACCUGGACAGCUCUUCAUGGAGUCAGUGACUUAAAACUGUCAGACAGGAGGGACAGCGGACAUGUUGGACAGAGGAUGAAGAUGAAGCCUGCCAGGUUCUGAGGAAGAGGAGGGAAGCUGCAGACUGGAGAAAUUUAUGUCUCAUUAAAAAUAGACAGAAAACAUCCCAGAUCUUCGUGAUGGCCGACAAGAUUCACUUGUUUCCACCUCUGCAGAACCUCAUCAGAACUAGCUCUCCUACCGGUUCUGGACCAGUUCUUCUCCAGUUCUGGUCCGAUUCUGCUGAAGUUCUGGUCCGGCCCGCCGCCCACAGAGCCUCCAUCAGCAAAAGUCUACAGAUCAGCAACUGGAGGUUGCCGGGCAGGCAGCCCGACCCGACCCGGCUCGCUUUCCGAACUUUUCUACCGGCUUCUUUUCGGAGCAGGCCCAGCCCAGCCAGUGACGCAAGCUUCGCUCCAGGUCACUGAUUGGCUGAGGGCGCGGUCAGACGGAGCAGCAAAGAGAAGAAAAACGAGGCGCAACGUUUCAACUCGCUGCAACACGGAAGUGAUGAAGAUACAAACACCGACCCAGAUGCAGCUAACGCCGCCGCCGCUGCUCUCCAGCCAGAGAACAGAAGAGGAGGAACAUGGCUGACAUGAUGGAGAACGAUGAGGAGAACCGUCAGAACAACAACUGGAUCUCCUUCAGGAGGAAGCAGCUACCAGCAGAGAUGGCAGAGCUCCACGAAGAGCCGAGGCAAAGAAAAGAAGAAAAUAAAUGCUGUUUUCUCUCAGUAAACAAA